Molecule: microRNA precursor, 129 nt
Filed under: Chinchilla lanigera (long-tailed chinchilla)
Lineage: Eukaryota; Metazoa; Chordata; Mammalia; Rodentia; Chinchillidae
Description: miRNA (ENSCLAG00000021293.1)
Source: RNAcentral
GGUCUCACUGUGUGGCCCAGGCUGGCCUUGAGCUCACUAUGUAGCCCAGGCUGGCCUCGAAAUUGUGGCGAUUCUCCUGCCUCAGCCUCCCAAGUGCUGGGACUACAGGCAUGCGCCACCCCAGCUCCG